Molecule: ribosomal RNA, 492 nt
Filed under: uncultured bacterium
Lineage: Bacteria
Description: partial 16S ribosomal RNA
Rfam family: Bacterial small subunit ribosomal RNA
Source: RNAcentral
AGUGAACGCUGGCGGUAGGCCUAACACAUGCAAGUCGAACGGCAGCACAGUAAGAGCUUGCUCUUACGGGUGGCGAGUGGCGGACGGGUGGGGAAUACAUCGGAAUCUACUUUUUCGUGGGGGAUAACGUAGGGAAACUUACGCUAAUACCGCAUACGACCUACGGGUGAAAGCAGGGGAUCUUCGGACCUUGCGCGAUUGAAUGAGCCGAUGUCGGAUUAGCUAGUUGGCGGGGUAAAGGUCCACCAAGGCGACGAUCCGUAGCUGGUCUGAGAGGAUGAUCAGCCACACUGGAACUGAGACACGGUCCAGACUCCUACGGGAGGCAGCAGUGGGGAAUAUUGGACAAUGGGCGCAAGCCUGAUCCAGCCAUACCGCGUGGGUGAAGAAGGCCUUCGGGUUGUAAAGCCCUUUUGUUGGGAAAGAAAAGCAGCAGGUUAAUACCCCGCUGUUCUGACGGUACCCAAAGAAUAAGCACCGGCUAACUUCGUG